This 443-nucleotide ribosomal RNA is filed under the name Echinocardium cordatum (sea potato). RNAcentral describes it as "partial 16S ribosomal RNA". It matches the Rfam family "Archaeal large subunit ribosomal RNA", at positions 1922 to 2458 of the family's 2987-position model. Lineage: Eukaryota; Metazoa; Echinodermata; Echinoidea; Spatangoida; Loveniidae. The record is from RNAcentral.
CCUGAAAAAUAGGCAUAGGGGGUCCUGCCUGCCCAGUGACUGAAAAGUUAAACGGCCGCGGUAUCUUGACCGUGCGAAGGUAGCAUAAUCAUUUGUCUCCUAAAUAGAGACUGGUAUGAAUGGCAAGACGGAGCUUCACUGUCUCCUCCUCUUUAAUCUGAACUUCACAUUCCCGUGAAGAGGCGAGAAUUAGUUCGUAAGACGAGAAGACCCUGUCGAGCUGUAGCUAAAUUUUAAUUGUUGUUUACUAUUAGCCCUAACUAAUUAUAAUAAGAGUAGCAGGCCUAAAGCAUGACAAAUUAAAACAAGCUUUGAUUGGGGCAAUCCCGGAGAAAGAAAAUCCUCCGCUACUAUAUGGUUAUAUUAACCUAAAAUAAAAGAAUUAUUUUUCUUAAAUCAUAAAAAUGAAGGUAUGAUCCACUUACAGUGAUCAAAAGAACAAG